CCUACGGGAGGCUGCAGUGAGGAAUAUUGGUCAAUGGCCGGAAGGCUGAACCAGCCAUGCCGCGUGCAGGUCAGUGCCCUAUGGGCGUUAAACUUCUUUUGUGCGGGAGCAAUACUGGUCACGUGUGGCCAGACGAGAGUACCGUACGAAUAAGCAUCGGCUAACUCCGUGCCAGCAGCCGCGGUAAUACGGGGGAUGCAAGCGUUAUCCGGAUUUAUUGGGUUUAAAGGGUGCGUAGGCUGUGAGGUAAGUCAGCGGUGAAAUGCCCCCGCUCAACGGGGUGAAGUGCCAUUGAUACUGCCUGGCUGGAAUGCGGAUGCCGUGGGAGGAAGGUGUGGUGUAGCGGUGAAAUGCAUAGAUAUCACACAGAACACCGAUUGCGAAGGCAUCUCACGAAUCCGCGAUUGACGCUGAUGCACGAAAGCGUGGGUAUCAAACAGGAUUAGAUACCCUAGUAGUC
Molecule: ribosomal RNA, 460 nt
Filed under: uncultured bacterium
Lineage: Bacteria
Description: partial 16S ribosomal RNA
Rfam family: Bacterial small subunit ribosomal RNA
Source: RNAcentral